Molecule: small RNA, 29 nt
Filed under: Bombyx mori (domestic silkworm)
Lineage: Eukaryota; Metazoa; Arthropoda; Insecta; Lepidoptera; Bombycidae
Description: ovarian small RNA-26877
Source: RNAcentral
UCCAGUCGAUUUGGCCGCCAUGGUCGCAA